UAAAUAGUUUUGUUAAGUGUUAUAUGCGCGUAAAUGAAAGUUACGGUCGAUAUAGAUUUACCGAUUUGGCAAUGUGUAAGAUGCAUGCGUCACAUAUAUUGGCUUAAAGAAGGCCAGCAUCGCAGAAGAUCAAAUUGGGUCAAGUCAUGUUCGAAAUGACGUGAAUCAUAUUUAAAAUGAUAUUUACUGUGUCUUUACGCUUUAAGUGAAUUGAUUCAUCUUUCAAAGAAUAAAAUUUUUGCAUGCGCUGAUUGACAAUUAAUC
Molecule: long non-coding RNA, 264 nt
Filed under: Ananas comosus (pineapple)
Lineage: Eukaryota; Viridiplantae; Streptophyta; Magnoliopsida; Poales; Bromeliaceae
Description: long non-coding RNA (ACOM_LNC006066)
Source: RNAcentral